AACAAUAUCAGAUGUAGUGUUUAUCCUCAUAAGCACUUAGCAGUUAUUACCAACUGUACUGACUAUUUAGUCUUUACCUAUAAGUAUCUCCAAGUAAUGGACAGAGUUCAUAACUGCUGUGCUUAGAUGUGUGGUACUAGAAUCAAUAUUACCAUAUUUCCCUCAUUAGUGAUGACAUUUACAUACAAAAAAUAGAUGCAAACAGAAUUGUUACCUUUUUUGUAUUUUUCAAAUUAAAUGAUGUUUUCUGAAGUUCUAAUAGAAAAGACAAACAAGGGAAAAAAACACUUUGCCUCUUCCUUUAACACAUAAAUGGGCUGGAGAGAGAAUUCAGUGACACCUACAAAACAAGAACCUCCUCCAUGUAUUGAGCGAUGAGCUUCAGAGUGUCAGAGAAGAGGUAAAAGUUCAAAGUCUUAACUGUGGUUCGGCACAGGAGUAAUCAAUCCAACCGAGCAUGCAGAACAAACAAAGGAGCAGGCAGAGCAAAAACCAGGAGACUGAACUGGGUCAAAAACACGCACAGACUGUCACGAGAAGAAUGCCGGGCCACUGUGAACGUGAUAGAUGUGGCGCAGAACUGAGGCAAAACGCAGUUUAAAUACACAGGGGAGACAAUUAGACACAGGUGAAACACAUUAGGAUGGGGAAGGUAAUCACACAGGAGAGCAGAGAGGAGGUGGGCCUGAGACAAAAGACAAGGUAGUGUUUUCCAGAAUACAUGAAAUCUGCAUACAAGAAAAACCUACAGCUGCUGUUAGGUGCUGUUGACGUACUCUGGCACCGAGCUCGCUCUGAGGAUUUGACGUGUGCAAACAAGCAGCUGCAGUAUGGAGCCCAUCUCUCAGACCAUGGAGGCAGCAGAUGCUCAUCUGCAGAGGCGUGGGUGGAGGUUUGUGACCAAACGGGGAGCCUCAUCACAGUUCGUGGGGAGCACCAUGAUGAUCAUGACCACUUAUGCUGUCACCACCCUGACUAUGAACCUGGGGAAAAAAAUACAGGAGCGAAGAUCGAGACCGAACGGCAACUAAAGAUGGCCUCAUCAGAGACCCGGACUCACUGCCUUCACCCUGUAAUGAUGUCGGCAGCAACGCCCGGAAGAGAUCAGAAAUGGUUGGCCUCAACUUUGACGCUUCAUUCUUUACUUUGUGAAGCUGGGAGGUGGUCUUUCACCUUAACCUGAGGUCAUUACCAUAAAUGAAUGAUGACGAAUGGACAUGAAUACAUCACAUGCACUGCUGCCAUAUGACCACAGGGUGGAGAACUGGGACUACUUUAGGACCACCAGCCCGCUAGAGGCUGAAUGUGUCAGACAGUUCAGACAGUAAAAAACAAAGACAGUGGCAUUUUUUGAACCCAUUAAAUGCAUUUAAAGAACGAUGAUUAGAGCUAUGUCGAUGUUCUGUGACUAACAAGUAGAACUCUGAUAAUUUGUCCUUGUAUUCUGAGUUUCUUUCUUUUUUUUAAAAUCAUCAUAAAGUUGCCUUUUAAGUUUAAAACAAGCCUGUGUGACAGCGGAUUGUAAAAACUGUAAAAUGUCAGGUCACUCGAGUGUUUCUCGUGAGACAGAAAAUUAUUGUAAUGCUGUGCUGAAUCACUGACUUUAAAUAAAUCAUAAAAUAUAUUCCAGUUUCAA
This is a long non-coding RNA of Oreochromis niloticus (Nile tilapia), 1636 nucleotides long. RefSeq lists it as uncharacterized. The record is from RefSeq and is a predicted model, not a curated record. Lineage: Eukaryota; Metazoa; Chordata; Actinopteri; Cichliformes; Cichlidae. The transcript has 4 exons.